UCGAACAACUUCUAUUAUUUGGUGGUUCAAAUUGAAUGGUGUCAAAGAUACACAUCAACAUUGUCAACUAAUAGAAUUUGCAAAUAAUGCCAGCUCAGUAGUCAUGUGACAUGUUCCCAACUGCAACAGAGAAGAUUCUAUUUUUGCUUUCCAUGUAGCUUCAAAAUAAUGUAUUGCCUGUCAUAGAUAUUUACUCGUUCUCACUGCCAUUCUACUGGCAAUUCCACAAGGCAAAUCUGUGCCUUCUUCUUUCAUAGCAGUGAACGCUGAACCUGGACCAUCAAAGAGAAGAUAAUUUCUCAUCAAAUUGCCCAGCACUGUAAUGAGAAGAGAAGCAUCCAUAAAGUAAUAAACAAACUGAAUCUGAAUGUACCUAAUCAAAUGAAGGUGGCGACCUAGCAUAGAUGUUUCACAACC
RNAcentral lists this long non-coding RNA (417 nucleotides) under Triticum aestivum (bread wheat). RNAcentral's name for it is "long non-coding RNA (TAES_LNC002987)". The record is from RNAcentral. Lineage: Eukaryota; Viridiplantae; Streptophyta; Magnoliopsida; Poales; Poaceae.